This 85-nucleotide non-coding RNA is filed under the name unclassified sequences. RNAcentral's name for it is "c-di-GMP sequence". It matches the Rfam family "c-di-GMP-II-GAG riboswitch aptamer". The record is from Rfam by way of RNAcentral.
ACGGGUGCGGGAGGCGAUGACACGCGGCUCGCAUGACGGCCGCCUGAGCCGCGCCGAGCCACUGGCGAGACCGAGCCGCUCUGAU